Long non-coding RNA from Daktulosphaira vitifoliae (grape phylloxera), 2399 nucleotides. RefSeq lists it as uncharacterized. The transcript is spliced from 2 exons. The record is from RefSeq and is a predicted model, not a curated record. Lineage: Eukaryota; Metazoa; Arthropoda; Insecta; Hemiptera; Phylloxeridae.
ACCUUUUUUAUUUCAAAACUGUCGUUUCCAACAGCUUAAAAUAGUGUACUUAUAUUUUAAAACUUGAAAAUAAGCUCUAAUAUAUCUAUGAAAAAUAACCAACAUUUAGCUCGCCACUUGAUAAAUAUUAUUUUAUUUAAAUCUUUAUGAACAUGAUUAAGUAAAAAGAAAUAUGACUUCUCAUUAAAUUGCGUACUAACCAUUAACAUUGAAAAUUAAGGAAUCCAUAAACUUAAUCUUAGAAGGCGUUUGCUGUUACACAACUAACGCACAUAUUGACUAAUAUUUUCCAGACGGGCUCGCAUUAAAAAUCUUAUAUCCUUACCCUAAAUCUCAUUGUGAUUUUUUAUUUUUAAAAGUAGUUUGUUUUUUAUUAAAUUUUUUGUAUUUUGAUCAUAUCUUCGAUCGAUAGUUUUACAGUUAACAUCAAAUGGCGACGGGGUGGACUUGUUUCGUUUGGGGUGAAUUGCUAUUGGAUUACCCCUAACAUUAGGGUUUUUUGUUGACAAAUCCGGCGAAAUCGAUUGUUAUUCUGCGACCACCGUCUAAAUCUACCCUCAGAGUAAAAAAAAAAUGGGGUGUGCUAUGUAGACUUGUUUAGUUUGAUCCCCAUGCGUGUUACGUGUAGAACAGAUAAUCUAUAAAAUAUACUGUUGUGUGUGGCGACUAAAACGUUGUGUCUUAAAGAUUACCAAACGGUCAAAAAACAUAGACUAAACUCAUUUUAUGAGCUAUUUUUCUCAAUUUAGAUUGGUGUUUCCAUAAGGUUGACGUAGGAGUGAAAUUAAUCCGUUCCAUUUUCCUUAUUUAUUAAAACUCUUACAAAAUUAAGUCACUAUUAUGUGGAUUAUUUUUUUUUUUUAUUUAAAAGAAUUUUUCAUUUAAAAUAUUCAUAUAUUACUUCUAUUGUUACGAUCACGAGCAAGUGUAUUUUUGUUUUACUAAGAAUUAUUAUAGAGAAAUGGUCCACCAGGUGGCGGUAACAAUAUUGUAUAACCUAAGACAUAUUUUAUUUCAACUUGGUUAUACACUUGCUCAGUGGCGCCAAUUGAUAUAUUAUAAUUGAGAAGUAUAUAGAAAAAAAUUUUUAUCUCAUGUCCGUAAUUUAGCGAAAAAAAUACCUAAAUAAUAAGUAAAAUCAAAAGGAAGACAUAAAAAAUUUAGAAAUUUGACGUCGGCACCACUGCACUCACUAGUUACACUUGAAAAUCAAAUUUUAUCAAACUUAUUGACAAUUAUAAUAAAUUGUUAUAACUAAUCAAACAAUUUCAGUAUUAUAUGAUUGUAGUUGUGGUGGUUUAAUUGUUUACAAACAUUCCUAAAAAAAAAAAAAUACCAAUUAAAAUGUAUAUUAUCUUAUAUAUUGUAUCGAAUAAAUUAAUUUUACGCAUUUGCUAAUCUACUAAUCAGAUGACCGAUUUUAUUGUGUGAUUUGACUUUUUGGCGGCAAACGUGGCCAACGCGGACUUUGCAUUCGCGCUGGCCACGACGACAUUUAUCGUGAUUAGCGGUGAAAAUGAAGAGGGAGUGGUCGAAGGUUCGAUUUGAAAAAUAGUAGCCAGUACGCAAUACGACUGUAGGAACGUGUGUAGUCAGCAUUAGGAGUUAGAGGUAGUGAGUUGUGCUACGUUGUCGUUAGCGGAGGUGGUGACGACGACGACGACGACGACUUAGACAUUGCGGAUGACGUGGUAGUCCAGCAGGUGAAGGGAAAAGAAGCUCACGCGCGCGCGCUAGCGUUAGCCCCACCAGUGUGACUCUAUCGGUGUACCGGUAGUGGUGAAUGGUGAUGAGUGUGGACAAGUGGCGCGGCCCGACGGAUGCCGAAUCGAGCCGACUGAACGCGGCGCGUCUACCGCCGGCGAACUCAACGUCCUUUUCCUCGUCGUCGCCUCUACGUACGGUCGUGUGUCCGUGCAACUAUCUGCUACACUGCAUUCUCACAUCACAGCAGCUCACAGGUGUAGAGCCUCACUUGUUCCUUUCAUACUCUGAGAAUAAUCGCGGGAGAAAGCAAUAAAAAAUAAUUCUCGUAAUGUCUGUACAUUUUCUCUCCCUUCAGUGGAAUGUCAUAAAAUUAACAGUAACAAUACUCGAGAAACGAGUACCUUAUUCAAAUACGGCCGGUAGUCGUGGCAUGAGAGGAGAUAAAAAUCCAGAUGGCCACCUCCUGCUGAUGUAAGUGCAUACGUUUACUAGAAACCGAAGAGAAAACAAACGAGAGACAAACCGCUCUCUACUCUGUAACGCGUGUGCCCGUUAGUUUGUUCGCGUUUAAAUAGAAUAUAUUUAUAUGUUUUUUUUUUUAUAUAUAUAUAUACAUUGUUGUGCGUGCGAGAUAGUGUAUUUCUGUGUACAUGUGCACCAGAAGAAGAAGAAAUAACCGGCAAUGACCACUA